RNAcentral lists this transfer RNA (71 nucleotides) under Marmota marmota marmota (Alpine marmot). It matches the Rfam family "tRNA". Rfam says of the family: Transfer RNA (tRNA) molecules are approximately 80 nucleotides in length. Their secondary structure includes four short double-helical elements and three loops (D, anti-codon, and T loops). Further hydrogen bonds mediate the characteristic L-shaped molecular structure. tRNAs have two regions of fundamental functional importance: the anti-codon, which is responsible for specific mRNA codon recognition, and the 3' end, to which the tRNAs corresponding amino acid is attached (by aminoacyl-tRNA synthetases). tRNAs cope with the degeneracy of the genetic code in two manners: having more than one tRNA (with a specific anti-codon) for a particular amino acid; and 'wobble' base-pairing, i.e. permitting non-standard base-pairing at the 3rd anti-codon position. RNAcentral also lists the same sequence under 1 other name. Lineage: Eukaryota; Metazoa; Chordata; Mammalia; Rodentia; Sciuridae. The record is from Rfam by way of RNAcentral.
GGGGAUUUAGCUCAGUUGGUGGAGUGCUUGUCUUGCAUGCACAAGGCUCUGGGUUCAAUCCCUAAUCCCCA